RNAcentral lists this ribosomal RNA (458 nucleotides) under uncultured bacterium. RNAcentral's name for it is "partial 16S ribosomal RNA". It matches the Rfam family "Bacterial small subunit ribosomal RNA", at positions 338 to 795 of the family's 1533-position model. The record is from RNAcentral.
CCUACGGGUGGCAGCAGUGAGGAAUAUUGGUCAAUGGGCGAGAGCCUGAACCAGCCAAGUCGCGUGAGGGAGUACUGCCCUAUGGGUUGUAAACCUCUUUUGUCGGGGAGCAAAAGCCGGACGUGUCCGGCUGUGAGCGUACCCGAAGAAAAAGCAUCGGCUAACUCCGUGCCAGCAGCCGCGGUAAGACGGGGGAUGCGAGCGUUAUCCGGAUUUAUUGGGGUUAAAGGGUGCGCAGGCGGAUUUUUAAGUCAGCGGUCAAAUCGUGGGGCUCAACCCCAUCCAGCCGUUGAAACUGGGGAUCUUGAGUGAGUGAGAAGUAUGCGGAAUGCGUGGUGUAGCGGUGAAAUGCAUAGAUAUCACGCAGAACUCCGAUGGCGAAGGCAGCAUACCGGCGCUCAACUGACGCUCAUGCACGAAAGUGUGGGUAUCGAACAGGAUUAGAUACCCGAGUAGUC